GCCAUUGGAUUAAUUCAGCCUUAAAAGACCCUUGCAACAGAAAAAGGCAGAAAAGGAAUGUGACAAAUUUCUCUACUGAAAAGAAAGGAUUCAAAUUGAGGAAGGAUUCAUAACAGGGAAGCAGGAGCGGAAAAUAAUGUGUGAGUAGGAAACAGAUAGACUUGGGUCUCCAAAUCUCCAAAGCCACUUAGUUUUGCAAAUUGGAGAAAGACAUUUAACACUUUUGAGACACAUUUAAACUUAUAAAAUAGAGGGAAAUAAUAUCUACCAACCUGAUGGAUUUUUGUGAGAAUUAAUGAAUAAAAUAUACAAAAUGGUUAUGUCAGGCCAGUGGCAAUCAAUAAAUGCUAGUUUUCUUUUUUCUUCUUUUCCUUUCAGAUUAAAAUUUAAUUGGUUUUAGCUUAAAUUCAGGGUGAAAAUGAUAGACCAAGGAUCACAACCAAUGUGGUUUUAGAGAAGUUUAUAUAUUUUUUAUACAAGGGGACUAAAACACACAUUUUAUAUUUAAUCUAUAAAAUCAAAACAACACUUUACGGUUCCAAUUUAAUUUUUAAUUUCCCAAGGAAUUCUGAAUUUGUUAAUGAAAUCUUGAUUGUAUUCUAAAAAUUAUAACUUUUAGGAAGCCUUUUCUGACCCUCUGCUCACUAUGGUCCCUCUUUUGUAUCUAAAUACUAUGCAACUUAUAGCUCUCUUAAGAGGCCAGUGAUGAACUGCUGUGUAUUGUAAAAGUUACUCUCUUAUUGCCCUUACUAGUUGCUAAGAUACUUGAUGGCAGAAAGAAUUUUUUUCUCUUUUAAUCUCAUCUGUUGUAGUACCUGACACUGUUUCACACUGAAUACUAAAGAUUCUCUGAAAAGUUUCAUAAUUAUAGCAUUGUGUUGUUUUUUUCUAUGUACAUAUGUCACCAUUGCCCACAAAUCCCCUCCAUAUUAAAAAGGAAAAUUCUCUAGCA
RNAcentral lists this long non-coding RNA (952 nucleotides) under Homo sapiens (human). RNAcentral's name for it is "HSALNT0341839". The record is from RNAcentral. Lineage: Eukaryota; Metazoa; Chordata; Mammalia; Primates; Hominidae.